UUAGAAAUCAUUUGUAUGCGUGUUUGGAAGCUGAACGCGCGCAUGUUCACGCAAGAUGACGCGGUCCGUCUCUCGCACAUCCGGACAGACGUUCGCUGAUGGCCUCUGACCCUGAACAUACACGUCUUUUUUUGCACAAACGGAGAAAGACGAAGCAAAACCAAAACUUUCAGAAAAGCGUCCUGCUUUAGAAAUGACCACUGUGGUAGAUGAAACAGAGACAAUCUGCCCUUUGGAUAUUAAUCCUCUGGACAGAUCGCGUGCUUUUUAAUAAGGUAAUGUUGCGUGGAUAUCUGAUAUGUAUGUAUGAAUCCUGGUUCUGUUGUUGAUCUGUCGCUGCUGUUUGCACGUUCAAAUUAAAUGUUUUGUUUUUACUAGUUCACAGACAACCGUCAACUGUAUUUUUACUCAAUGACAAUUACAUAUUAAAAUCGUAUAAGUUAACGGUAAAUGUUCGGUUUAGAAGCUACGGUUGUCGGUCGGGAAAAUUAACUGCAUCCCUACUUUAAAUAUAAAAGCGCUUAAAGAAGCAUACUUGCAUUCUAGGCGGAUAUACAAGUCACUAGCUGGCAAGUCAGUUCCUGAAUUACACGACACAAACCUUUUUUAAAAAAAAGUCAAAUUUACUUCUCAGAGGCAAGGAACUGUUUCUGAAACUGACGUUCUCCCAAAACUGAAAUUAAACACAGUGUUUCGCGUUUCCCUUGCCUGUUUCAUAUUGUUUGCACAUCUGAUAUCAAGAAGCAAGGUAUUGCGCACAUGACGACGAGAGGUGAUUUAUAAACGUGACAUCGCAGACAAUUUCGGCGCAAAUUAAAAAAAAUUGCAUUACACAGAGUUACUACAGAAGAACCAGUGUGUGUGGGAAAACACUGCUAACCUUUCAUGAUACUCUCGAAUCAGUCGUCUUCUCUGUCAGUAACAACGCGAGAUAAAUGUAAAUAGCGUGACGCGUCGACGCAUUUUUCGCAUGUCGACGUAUUUUCGUAGUCGACGUAAUCGAUGACGUUGACGCGUUGUUGCAGCACUAAUGCACUCUCUCAUCCAUGUCUCUCUCAGUGCAUCCCUCGCAUUUAUUAUAGGGCCCUAGGGUGUGUGAGGUACAGAAGUGGGGCAAUGCGCAUGUUAUUCAGAAUUUUUUUUUAAGUUGUUUUUUGAUCAGUACUGCUGUUUACAUUUUCCUUGUCUUCUUAUGAAAGAUAUUUGCUCUACAAGAGAUUAAGUAAAGUGCACUAAAACUUAGACCUAAGCAUUAAAUAGGUUGUAAAUAGUUGGUUACUUUCAAGGAAAAAGUAAAGUGUUCCCCUUGUUAUGCUGCUUGGUUGCUGCUACUGUGUGCAAUAGUGUAAUUAUUUUAAUAUGCUUAGUAUUUUCAGCAGCACUGAAUUUUCUUACUUGUUCUACCUCACCUGUUUUUACUAUUUGUUAAAUAUAGUUCAAUAAAUGUUCAUUUUUUAAAUGAAGAGUUGUAACAUUUGGUUUUAUCAUUGUGUAAUUUUUAUGAUGUAAACUGAAUGAGCAAAAGCACUAUCGGCUCCAAAUUUCGGCUAAAGAAAAUCGGCAGCCUGUAUCGGGUCAUCGGCUAAGGCCAGAGCCGCCGGAUUAAAUAAAUGGACUACACUAGGCAGGCUGCAUUUUUUGGGCCCCCCCCAUCGAGGUUAUUUAUGAAUUGAAAUCUGAAACUUACCAAAGUUACUAAUAAAAGUGAAUUCACAUUUUACAUAGCCUAGUCUUUGCUUACAAAUUGGUUGUUUGUAUACCAAAUUAAGUCAUGUGUUGUAUAUUAACCAGUCUAUCAGACAAUUUUUUGCUAAAUUUAUUAUUUAUACGUCAUUACACGGCUCUAUUAAAUGCUAUUAAAUUAUCCUCACCUUAUCCAUUGGGAGUGUCAUUGUUAAGGCAGUAGUACAAGUAAAUAACCAAUAGGUGUCAGUAAUCCGCGGGAGAGCUUUGCUGCAUAUUUCUCUUCAAGAUUGAGAAUCGCAACGAAAUCCUCGUCGAGCAACACGUCCACUGAGCAACCAUGUCUGUGUCCUUAAAGGAACUCUGUCAGGUACAGAUUAGAACUAUGAACUUGAAAAUCAACCAUUCUGAUGACUGGCGUCCCCAUCCGAGUCACCACCUCAGACAACAACAGUCAUAAACUCACAAACACAAAUACACUCAGUAAUGGGCUUAAUAAAGAAAGACUUAACUAUGAUUUUAUCUGUGUUAACCUAUGAUAUCAGUUAUUGAUGUAUUUUAAAUAUUUACGUAUUACUAGGCUUAUCAUACAUGCAUUGAAGUUUUAAAAUGUAUCUAAUAUAAUACUGUAAUUAAAUUGAAUGUUUUGGAUACCACCAUUAAAUUAUUUUGUGCAUGUAAAACACAA
Non-coding RNA from Misgurnus anguillicaudatus (oriental weatherfish), 2371 nucleotides. NCBI's taxonomy places the organism in Eukaryota, Metazoa, Chordata, Actinopteri, Cypriniformes, Cobitidae. The record is from RefSeq and is a predicted model, not a curated record.